UACGUAGGCAGCAAGCGUUGUUCGGAAUUACUGGGCGUAAAGAGUGUGUAGGCGGUGCUCUAAGUUCGGUGUGAAAUCUCCCGGCUCAACUGGGAGGGUGCGCCGGAAACUGGAAUGCUUGAGCGUGGGAGAGGAAAGCGGAAUACCUGGUGUAGAGGUGAAAUUCGUAGAUAUCAGGUGGAACACCAGUGGCGAAGGCGGCUUUCUGGACGAUAACUGACGCUGAGACGCGAAAGCGUGGGGAGCAAACAGG
This 253-nucleotide ribosomal RNA is filed under the name uncultured bacterium. RNAcentral's name for it is "partial 16S ribosomal RNA". It matches the Rfam family "Bacterial small subunit ribosomal RNA", at positions 524 to 776 of the family's 1533-position model. The record is from RNAcentral.